RNAcentral lists this ribosomal RNA (253 nucleotides) under uncultured bacterium. RNAcentral's name for it is "partial 16S ribosomal RNA". It matches the Rfam family "Bacterial small subunit ribosomal RNA", at positions 524 to 776 of the family's 1533-position model. The record is from RNAcentral.
UACAGAGGUCUCAAGCGUUGUUCGGAUUCAUUGGGCGUAAAGGGUGCGUAGGCGGCGCGGCAAGUCGGGUGUGAAAUCUCGGGGCUUAACUCCGAAACUGCAUUCGAUACUGCCGUGCUUGAGGACUGGAGAGGAGACUGGAAUUCCUAGUGUAGAGGUGAAAUUCGUAGAUAUUAGGAAGAACACCAGUGGCGAAGGCGGCUCACUGGCCCGAUACUGACGCUGAGGCACGAAAGCGUGGGGAGCAAACAGG